CCUACGGGGGGCAGCAGUGGGGAAUAUUGCACAAUGGGGGGAACCCUGAUGCAGCGACGCCGCGUGGGUGAAGGAGCACCUCGGUGCGUAAAGCCCUAUCGGCAGGGAAGAAAAGCGAACAGGUUCGCCUGGACGGUACCUGACUAAGAAGCCCCGGCUAACUACGUGCCAGCAGCCGCGGUAAUACGUAGGGGGCAAGCGUUAUCCGGAUUCACUGGGUGUAAAGGGAGCGUAGACGGCGACGCAAGUCUGGAGUGAAAGCCCGCGGCCCAACCGCGGGCCUGCAUUGGGAACUACCGGGCCGG
Molecule: ribosomal RNA, 305 nt
Filed under: uncultured bacterium
Lineage: Bacteria
Description: bacterial SSU rRNA
Rfam family: Bacterial small subunit ribosomal RNA
Source: RNAcentral